RNAcentral lists this ribosomal RNA (617 nucleotides) under uncultured Actinomycetes bacterium. Its description in RNAcentral is "bacterial SSU rRNA". It matches the Rfam family "Bacterial small subunit ribosomal RNA", at positions 556 to 1174 of the family's 1533-position model. Lineage: Bacteria; Bacillati; Actinomycetota; Actinomycetes. The record is from RNAcentral.
GGGCGUAAAGAGCUUGUAGGCGGCUUGUCGCGUCUGCUGUGAAAGCCCGGGGCUUAACCCCGGGUCUGCAGUGGGUACGGGCAGGCUAGAGUGUGGUAGGGGAGACUGGAAUUCCUGGUGUAGCGGUGAAAUGCGCAGAUAUCAGGAGGAACACCGAUGGCGAAGGCAGGUCUCUGGGCCAUUACUGACGCUGAGAGGCGAAAGCGUGGGGAGCGAACAGGAUUAGAUACCCUGGUAGUCCACGCCGUAAACGUUGGGCGCUAGGUGUGGGUCCCAUUCCACGGGGUCCGUGCCGCAGCUAACGCAUUAAGCGCCCCGCCUGGGGAGUACGGCCGCAAGGCUAAAACUCAAAGGAAUUGACGGGGGCCCGCACAAGCGGCGGAGCAUGCGGAUUAAUUCGAUGCAACGCGAAGAACCUUACCAAGGCUUGACAUGUACCGGAAACCCUCGGAGACGGGGGCCCCGCAAGGCUGGUACACAGGUGGUGCAUGGUUGUCGUCAGCUCGUGUCGUGAGAUGUUGGGUUAAGUCCCGCAACGAGCGCAACCCUCGUUCUAUGUUGCCAGCGGUUCGGCCGGGGACUCAUAGGAGACUGCCGGGGUCAACUCGGAGGAAGGU